AUUGAACGCUGGCGGCAUGCCUUACACAUGCAAGUCGAACGGUAGCAGGUCUUCGGAUGCUGACGAGUGGCGAACGGGUGAGGAAUACAUCGGAACGUGCCUAGUAGUGGGGGAUAACUACUCGAGAGAGUGGCUAAUACCGCAUGAGAUCUCCGGAUGAAAGCAGGGGAUCGCAAGACCUUGUGCUACUAGAGCGGCCGAUGGCAGAUUAGGUAGUUGGUGGGAUAAAAGCUUACCAAGCCGACGAUCUGUAGCUGGUCUGAGAGGACGAUCAGCCACACUGGGACUGAGACACGGCCCAGACUCCUACGGGAGGCAGCAGUGGGGAAUUUUGGACAAUGGGCGGAAGCCUGAUCCAGCAAUGCCGCGUGCAGGAUGAAGGCCUUCGGGUUGUAAACUGCUUUUGUACGGAACGAAAAGCCCCGGGUUAAUACCCUGGGGUCAUGACGGUACCGUAAGAAUAAGCACCGGCUAACUAUGUGCCAGCAGCCGCCGUAA
This 498-nucleotide ribosomal RNA is filed under the name uncultured bacterium. RNAcentral's name for it is "partial 16S ribosomal RNA". It matches the Rfam family "Bacterial small subunit ribosomal RNA", at positions 30 to 523 of the family's 1533-position model. The record is from RNAcentral.